Molecule: ribosomal RNA, 397 nt
Filed under: uncultured bacterium
Lineage: Bacteria
Description: bacterial SSU rRNA
Rfam family: Bacterial small subunit ribosomal RNA
Source: RNAcentral
AAUCAACGCUGGCGGCGUGCCUCAGACAUGCAAGUCGAACGAUUAAAGCUCUCUUCGGAGAGUGUAUAGAGUGGCGCACGGGUGAGUAACACGUAAGUAAUCUACCUUUGAGUGGGGAAUAACAAUCGGAAACGAUUGCUAAUACCGCAUAAUGCAGCGGCAUCGCAAGAUGACAGUUGUUAAAGGAGCAAUCCGCUUAAAGAGGAGCUUGCGGCAGAUUAGCUAGUUGGUAAGGUAAUGGCUUACCAAGGCUACGAUCUGUAACCGGUCUAAGAGGACGGUCGGUCACACUGACACUGAAUAACGGGUCAGACUCCUACGGGAGGCAGCAGUCGGGAAUUUUGGGCGAAUGGGCGAAAGCCUGACCCAGCAACGCCGCGUGAAGGAUGAAGUAUUU